This 1291-nucleotide small RNA is filed under the name Vigna angularis var. angularis. RNAcentral's name for it is "Non-protein coding transcript". Lineage: Eukaryota; Viridiplantae; Streptophyta; Magnoliopsida; Fabales; Fabaceae. The record is from RNAcentral.
AACUGAAUGACGCGUGGGUUACGCGAGGGUUGCGGAAGACGUGGAGAAUGGGUUUGACCAGACACCGAAAGUGUUUACCCUGGGUGACAACCGUCUUCCUCCCGCCUCUCUGCAAAAUCUAUCUUUACCCCAAAAAACCCUAGAGUCAAUCACACUGUGGAAUAGUUGGAGACAACGCCAAUUGGAGAUGCAGGUGUUGCCGCUGGUGAAGGUGGCGCUUGUCUGAGCCGAGGCGGCGAUGGAGGAUGAUUCGGUGGUGCCCCUGUGGCAGCAGCGCCUGGUGGCGCGGCGGAGGCUUUUCUGUUCUUAGUCUCAAUUUGGGGAUUUAGGGUUUUCGCUGCUCAAUCUCGAUUCUGUUCCUUGGGGUUUCGAUUCCUGUGUGAAGAGUUCGCCAUUUUGAAGGCGUGAAGAUGGCGUUGACAGCGGUGCAGUGAUUUGAAAAAGUGGCGGCGCCGUUGAGCUUUGGGUUUAGGCGGCGAUGAUGAAGGCGGCAGCCCUCUCCGACGAAGAUUUCCUACGUUUACCGACAAAGGAGACGGUGAAGCCAGAUACAGUUCCGAUGCGUCACAGUCCCUGCACCAGUCUUCAACCCGUUCUUGAAUAAUUGGAUUGGGACAUUGUUGUUUCCUCCAAAUGGAAGGGAAAACUGGGGUGACGACGUCGAGAUUAAAAGAGGCAGCGAAAGAAGUUUUCUCUCCCGCAAAGGGUGUGAUUUAGCGGAGGUGCUCAAUGGCGCGAUUUCGCAGAGGUGCUCGCGGUGGCGUCAAUGGCUCGCGGAGAAGAUUAUUGGUGGCGAUGCCGCGAUUUGAUGGAGUAGCUCUGUUCGAAGGAGUGAUUCAUUGAGGCCGAGGCUCCUCUUGUGGCUUCUUUGGGUUGGCCCUCGGCCCCACGGUGGGCGCCAAAAUGUUUCGGUGUACAUUUUCUUGUGUGUCUCUGUUGCUCCUGGAUAUCUGGGAUGCUUGCAUUUCUUCAACUGUUGUCCUUCGUAUUCACCAAAGGAGGGGGAGGUACCUGCAAAGAUACUCCGACGUUCAAGUCAGAUAUGAGUUAUGGAGCUGAAGCUCAGAAGAGAGUAAUUGGAUACUGCUCUGAAGUAUUAUUCAGGAUCUCUAGAGCAUAAAGAGAACGUACCUGGACUUGGGUCCUGUCAUUGUAUUUAUAAAGAAUAAAAAUAACCACCUUACCUAAAAGUGUGGUUAGUGGCUUUGACUGAUAUUUUAACUGUCUAAAAUAUCUAAGAUAUUUAUGUUAUUACAUAAAUAUCCUUACUACAUAACACUUUCAAAUCCUC